This is a long non-coding RNA of Camelina sativa (false flax), 506 nucleotides long. RefSeq lists it as uncharacterized. NCBI's taxonomy places the organism in Eukaryota, Viridiplantae, Streptophyta, Magnoliopsida, Brassicales, Brassicaceae. The record is from RefSeq and is a predicted model, not a curated record.
AAAAAAAAGAAAAAAAAAGAGAGGUGACUGGUGAGAUGAUGAAUACAACAACUACAUGGUUCGAGAGUUUCUUGGAAUAAUACUAGACAGCUUGAUAUUUUCUUCAAGGGACUACAGGACUUUAAAUCAAGCGAGAUGACAACUAACUAUUGGAGUAUAAAACCAAAAAAUCAAUGUAUGUAUCUUACAAAAGGGUACAAGUUUUUUGGAAACUAGAUAGAGAGGUGGUCCAAAGAGAAGGAAGGUUGAUAUGUUUGGGGAAGAAGAGGGAGGUGGGGACUUCUCGUAGCCUUUCUGGAAUAGCACACUGUUACAUGCCAUCCCUCUCGAUAUGUCAACUUGUCCAUUGUUCCUUAUUAUAACUCUACUCCUUUUUAUGUUUUCUCUUGUAUUUGUUUUUUUUUCUAACCUUUUUUCUGAUACUUGGGAGCUUUAAAAUAUCAGGAUUUGGAUUAAGAUCCGUGUAUACAUGCGGAAAUAAUAAAAAGGUUAUAUUAACUUGGAGA